GCCGACAUGGCUGGCGAUGCUCUCUCCUGCCAGCGGGCCAGGGCGUGAAGGUGGCUGUGGCCCGGGAUGCGGGAUGCCAUCUCGCCCGUGUCCUUCCCACCGCUAGACGGGACCGUGGCAUCGGCGCUCCGGCAGCCCGACGCGCGCCUGUCCCGCGUGACUUGCAUACGCAAUGCAGCCAUGCUUAACGAGCCGACAGUAGCAGCUGCCAGCCAGAAUAGCAAAUCCGCGCGACUUGGCACCACUCCAGCUUCCUUGAGGGUUGCAGAGGGAUGGUAUGUUGGAGGGACAUGGAAGCUUCUGCCUGUGAAUUUAAUACCAAAGACAAUCAAGAUCUUGGUGACAGACAGAAGCAAAGGAUAAACCAUCAGAUAAGGCCUUGCCAGAAAACAGCCUUCGAAGGAGUCAAGG
This 411-nucleotide long non-coding RNA is filed under the name Calidris pugnax (ruff). Its description in RNAcentral is "lncRNA (ENSCPUG00000004081.1)". The record is from RNAcentral. Lineage: Eukaryota; Metazoa; Chordata; Aves; Charadriiformes; Scolopacidae.